RNAcentral lists this long non-coding RNA (340 nucleotides) under Sorghum bicolor (sorghum). Its description in RNAcentral is "long non-coding RNA (SBIC_LNC016962)". The record is from RNAcentral. Lineage: Eukaryota; Viridiplantae; Streptophyta; Magnoliopsida; Poales; Poaceae.
ACCAAUAGCAUUUAAAAAGAAGACAUCAACGUUAACUUUAAUCCCUUGUCUUUGUCAUACACACGUUUGGUCCAGCUGAGCAUCCCAAAUCAGUGAUCACUAUGUUUCUAAGGGUGUUGUAUAUUUCCACAAGCUUGUGAUAGACUCCUGUAUCGAACGCUUCAUCCUGUUUUGCCCUGCAUUCUAGGAGCGAAGUAUAUGUUUUGUUCAGAUUUUUUUAACAUUCUAACUGUUCAGCUCUGCUAACAGAAACAAACAUCUAAUCAUACGCUCUAGGUUACUAAAUCCUUAUGGUGGUUUGGACAAACACAAAAAAAAAAACUUUCCAAUUAGGACCUAA